RNAcentral lists this long non-coding RNA (317 nucleotides) under Mus caroli (Ryukyu mouse). RNAcentral describes it as "lncRNA (MGP_CAROLIEiJ_G0006633.1)". Lineage: Eukaryota; Metazoa; Chordata; Mammalia; Rodentia; Muridae. The record is from RNAcentral.
GGUGUUCCAUCUUUGCAGGACAUGCUUUGUGUGGCCCAGCCGUGAGACACUGCCUCCCUGGGGGAAGGCGCUUCUGCUUUAGGGAAAACAGACUCUUAGAUCUGCUUUAGAGAAAAUAGACCAUCGAUGGCCAGCAAAUGAUGUUUCCUUUGGACACACUAGACUACUGUUUGAACACUGUACUGUAGAAGGCACAGACUGAGAUGUUGGGUCAACUGGGCAUGCCUGUCUUUGUGACUGGCUGCAUUAUCGAUCCUCCGAGCCUGUGUGCCACGCUGGAAAGCUGGAUCUAAGAGUUAAGAUUUAUUGGCUUAAAA